UCCCUGGUGGUCUAGUGGUUAGGAUUCGGUGCUCUUACCACUGCAGCCCGGGUUCGAUUCCUGGUCAAGGAA
RNAcentral lists this transfer RNA (72 nucleotides) under Loxodonta africana (African savanna elephant). It matches the Rfam family "tRNA". From Rfam's summary of the family: Transfer RNA (tRNA) molecules are approximately 80 nucleotides in length. Lineage: Eukaryota; Metazoa; Chordata; Mammalia; Proboscidea; Elephantidae. The record is from Rfam by way of RNAcentral.